GACCCCGUAGUUCAACUGAAUAGAAUAGUCGCCUCCUAAGCAACAGAUCUGGGUUUGAGUCCCGGCGGGGUCA
RNAcentral lists this transfer RNA (73 nucleotides) under Flavobacteriales bacterium. RNAcentral describes it as "tRNA-Arg". It matches the Rfam family "tRNA". Rfam says of the family: Transfer RNA (tRNA) molecules are approximately 80 nucleotides in length. Their secondary structure includes four short double-helical elements and three loops (D, anti-codon, and T loops). The record is from RNAcentral. Lineage: Bacteria; Pseudomonadati; Bacteroidota; Flavobacteriia; Flavobacteriales.